UAGUCAUAUGCUUGUCUCAAAGAUUAAGCCAUGCAUGUCUAAGCACAAGCCGAUUAAUGGUGAAGCCGCGAAUGGCUCAUUACAACAGCCACUGUUUACUUGAUCUUGACUAUCCUACUUGGAUAACUGUGGUAAUUCUAGAGCUAAUACACGCAAAAAAGCUCCGACCUUACGGGACGAGCGCAUUUAUUAGACCAAAACCAAUCGGGCUUCGGCCUGAAACGUUGGUGACUCUGAAUAACUGAGCUGAUCGCAUGGUCUCGUACCGGCGACGUAUCAUUCAAGUGUCUGCCUUAUCAACUUUCGAUGGUAGUUUAUGUGCCUACCAUGGUUGUUACGGGUAACGGAGAAUAAGGGUUCGACUCCGGAGAGGGAGCCUGAGAAACGGCUACCACAUCCAAGGAAGGCAGCAGGCGCGCAAAUUACCCACUCUCGGCACGAGGAGGUAGUGACGAAAAAUAACGAGGCGGUUCUCUAUGAGGCCCGCUAUCGGAAUGAGUACAAUUUAGACCCUUUAACGAGGACUUAUGAGAGGACAAGUCUGGUGCCAGCAGCCAGUGUAGUCAUAUGCUUGUCUCAAAGCAAGUCUGGUGCCAGCAGCC
Molecule: ribosomal RNA, 602 nt
Filed under: uncultured eukaryote
Lineage: Eukaryota
Description: bacterial SSU rRNA
Rfam family: Eukaryotic small subunit ribosomal RNA
Source: RNAcentral